GAAUAUUGGUCAAUGGGCGCAGGCCUGAACCAGCCAAGUAGCGUGAAGGAUGACUGCCCUAUGGGUUGUAAACUUCUUUUAUAAGGGAAUAAAGUCACCCACGUGUGGGUGUUUGUAUGUACCUUAUGAAUAAGCAUCGGCUAACUCCGUGCCAGCAGCCGCGGUAAUACGGAGGAUGCGAGCGUUAUCCGGAUUUAUUGGGUUUAAAGGGAGCGUAGACGGGCCGUUAAGUCAGCUGUGAAAGUUUGAGGCUCAACCUUAAAAUUGCAGUUGAUACUGGCGUCCUUGAGUACGGUUGAGGCAGGCGGAAUUCGUGGUGUAGCGGUGAAAUGCUUAGAUAUCACGAAGAACCCCGAUUGCGAAGGCAGCCUGCUAAACCGCCACUGACGUUGAGGCUCGAAAGUGUGGGUAUCAAACAGGAUUAGAUACCCUGGUAGUCCACACGGUAAACGAUGGAUACUCGCUGUUGGCGAUAGACUGUCAGCGGCUUAGCGAAAGCGUUAAGUAUCCCACCUGGGGAGUACGCCGGCAACGGUGAAACUCAAAGGAAUUGACGGGGGCCCGCACAAGCGGAGGAACAUGUGGUUUAAUUCGAUGAUACGCGAGGAACCUUACCCGGGCUUGAAUUGCAGACGAAUUGCUUGGAAACAGGCAAGCCGCAAGGCGUCUGUGAAGGUGCUGCAUGGUUGUCGUCAGCUCGUGCCGUGAGGUGUCGGCUUAAGUGCCAUAACGAGCGCAACCCUCGUGUCCAGUUACUAGCAGGUUAUGCUGAGGACUCUGGACAGACUGCCAUCGUAAGAUGUGAGGAAGGUGGGGAUGACGUCAAAUCAGCACGGCCCUUACGUCCGGGGCUACACACGUGUUACAAUGGGGGGUACAGCAGGCAGCUACCGGGCGACCGGAUGCCAAUCCCGAAAGCCUCUCUCAGUUCGGACUGGAGUCUGCAACCCGACUCCACGAAGCUGGAUUCGCUAGUAAUCGCGCAUCAGCCACGGCGCGGUGAAUACGUUCCCG
This 1014-nucleotide ribosomal RNA is filed under the name uncultured bacterium. RNAcentral's name for it is "bacterial SSU rRNA". It matches the Rfam family "Bacterial small subunit ribosomal RNA", at positions 359 to 1376 of the family's 1533-position model. The record is from RNAcentral.